Molecule: ribosomal RNA, 489 nt
Filed under: Salmonella enterica subsp. diarizonae serovar 47:l,v 'HMG'
Lineage: Bacteria; Pseudomonadati; Pseudomonadota; Gammaproteobacteria; Enterobacterales; Enterobacteriaceae
Description: bacterial SSU rRNA
Rfam family: Bacterial small subunit ribosomal RNA
Source: RNAcentral
GAUUGAACGCUGGCGGCAGGCCUAACACAUGCAAGUCGAACGGUAACAGRRAGCAGCUUGCUGCUUUGCUGACGAGUGGCGGACGGGUGAGUAAUGUCUGGGAAACUGCCUGAUGGAGGGGGAUAACUACUGGAAACGGUGGCUAAUACCGCAUAACGUCGCAAGACCAAAGAGGGGGACCUUCGGGCCUCUUGCCAUCAGAUGUGCCCAGAUGGGAUUAGCUUGUUGGUGAGGUAACGGCUCACCAAGGCGACGAUCCCUAGCUGGUCUGAGAGGAUGACCAGCCACACUGGAACUGAGACACGGUCCAGACUCCUACGGGAGGCAGCAGUGGGGAAUAUUGCACAAUGGGCGCAAGCCUGAUGCAGCCAUGCCGCGUGUAUGAAGAAGGCCUUCGGGUUGUAAAGUACUUUCAGCGGGGAGGAAGGUGYUGUGGUUAAUAACCGCAGCAAUUGACGUUACCCGCAGAAGAAGCACCGGCUAACUCCG